GCAAGUCGAACGAUGAAGCCCUUCGGGGUGGAUUAGUGGCGAACGGGUGAGUAACACGUGGGCAAUCUGCCCUGCACUCUGGGACAAGCCCUGGAAACGGGGUCUAAUACCGGAUAUCACUCUUGCAGGCAUCUGUGAGGGUCGAAAGCUCCGGCGGUGCAGGAUGAGCCCGCGGCCUAUCAGCUUGUUGGUGAGGUAAUGGCUCACCAAGGCGACGACGGGUAGCCGGCCUGAGAGGGCGACCGGCCACACUGGGACUGAGACACGGCCCAGACUCCUACGGGAGGCAGCAGUGGGGAAUAUUGCACAAUGGGCGAAAGCCUGAUGCAGCGACGCCGCGUGAGGGAUGACGGCCUUCGGGUUGUAAACCUCUUUCAGCAGGGAAGAAGCGAAAGUGACGGUACCUGCAGAAGAAGCGCCGGCUAACUACGUGCCAGCAGCCGCGGUAAUACGUAGGGCGCAAGCGUUGUCCGGAAUUAUUGGGCGUAAAGAGCUCGUAGGCGGCUUGUCACGUCGGGUGUGAAAGCCCGGGGCUUAACCCCGGGUCUGCAUUCGAUACGGGCUAGCUAGAGUGUGGUAGGGGAGAUCGGAAUUCCUGGUGUAGCGGUGAAAUGCGCAGAUAUCAGGAGGAACACCGGUGGCGAAGGCGGAUCUCUGGGCCAUUACUGACGCUGAGGAGCGAAAGCGUGGGGAGCGAACAGGAUUAGAUACCCUGGUAGUCCACGCCGUAAACGGUGGGAACUAGGUGUUGGCGACAUUCCACGUCGUCGGUGCCGCAGCUAACGCAUUAAGUUCCCCGCCUGGGGAGUACGGCCGCAA
RNAcentral lists this ribosomal RNA (819 nucleotides) under Streptomyces sp. RNAcentral's name for it is "bacterial SSU rRNA". It matches the Rfam family "Bacterial small subunit ribosomal RNA", at positions 57 to 891 of the family's 1533-position model. Lineage: Bacteria; Bacillati; Actinomycetota; Actinomycetes; Kitasatosporales; Streptomycetaceae. The record is from RNAcentral.